This is a non-coding RNA of Desmophyllum pertusum, 76 nucleotides long. The record is from the annotation of a GenBank genome assembly. NCBI's taxonomy places the organism in Eukaryota, Metazoa, Cnidaria, Anthozoa, Scleractinia, Caryophylliidae.
UCCCUGGUAGUCUCAGUGGUAGAGCGUCCGACCGGUGUGCGGAAGGUUUCAUCAGGUUAGACUCCUGUUGGGGGAA